CAAACAAACGUGUCUAUGAUCAGGGGUCAACGAAUGCAGUCAGUUUGCAAGACUUUCUGGAGGAGAAAGAACACCAUUUCUAUAGUGCAUUGUGAGUUUUAGAUCACCCAGAAAGAAGGACUAGUGGGGCUUUGCCGAAGGUAGAUACAGAUGUCUGAAAUGGAGGGCUCUAAUUCAGAUUUGCCUCUUUGGUGCAAAGGCUGAGGAGUUAGACACCGCAAUGUGUGGAGUGCAAGAAAAUGCUUUUAUUCCCUUGAACUGCUACCAAGCAAAGCAAUACAAUGUCAGCAUAGUCUUCAUCAUGGAGUGUUCCCAGGAG
RNAcentral lists this long non-coding RNA (319 nucleotides) under Homo sapiens (human). Its description in RNAcentral is "HSALNT0233453". Lineage: Eukaryota; Metazoa; Chordata; Mammalia; Primates; Hominidae. The record is from RNAcentral.